RNAcentral lists this small RNA (830 nucleotides) under Pongo abelii (Sumatran orangutan). RNAcentral's name for it is "processed transcript". Lineage: Eukaryota; Metazoa; Chordata; Mammalia; Primates; Hominidae. The record is from RNAcentral.
GUCAACACUGUGGAGAUGUUUGACCUGGAGCAUGGAAACCAGCCAUGUCCUUUGGGUUCUGUGGAGAGCUUUAGCCUUGCACGGCGGCGCUGGGAGGCAUUGCCUGCCAUGCCCACUGCCCGCUGCUCCUGCUCUAGUCUGCAGGCUGGGCCCCGGCUGUUUGUUAUUGGGGGUGUGGCCCAGGGCCCCAGUCAAGCCGUGGAGGCACUGUGUCUGCGUGAUGGGGUCUGAAGGCCUGGUGGGAGCUGUCCACUGGAGCAGCUCAUUGCCAGAGACAGCUAUUUCUAUGGCUCGUUUUGCUGCUGAGAACACUCACUGUGGCUCUGUGGGAUGAAAGAGGUAUGGGGGUGAGCACUUGAGACACUGCCUUGGGGCCUUGGGUUAGGGGAGCCUUUGUCUUUAGUGCAGGACACACGUAUGCUUACACCUACCUUUAUCACCAUUCGUUCAUGAAUCAUGCCUAGCUCCAUCCUUGCCCUGGGACCUACUAGGCCUUCCAUCCAACUGGGAAAUGGGGAGAAGAAAAGCUGGCCUCAUGCUCUUCAGGGUCAGUUCCUAUCUGGAGUUGACCAGGCCUACCCCAGUUGCCAUUCCUGAAAAAUCUCAGCUGCCAGGCUGCCUUUAGGGUCCCUGUAGACCCAGGAGAGUUGAGAGGGUGGGGGACACAGAGAAUAGAGAGGAUGUGGGAACUGCCAGAGGGCCAGAGCGCAAGAGUUCAAGCGGAGGAAUGCUGGCUUUGAGCCCUCUACGCUGCUGGUUGUAUGACCUUGGACAAGUCACUUCACCUCUCUGUGCCUCAGCAUCCUCAUCUAUAAAUGGGGAUCUCUGAA